GAUGAAGAACGCAGCGAAAUGCGAUAAGUAAUGUGAAUUGCAGAAUUCAGUGAAUCAUCGAAUCUUUGAACGUACAUUGCGCCCGCCAGUAUUCUGGCGGGCAUGCCUGUUCGAGCGUCAUUUCAACCCUCAAGCCCAGCUUGGUGUUGGGGAUCGGCACAGGCGCCCUCGGGCGCCAGCCGUCCCCUAAAUCUAGUGGCGGUCCCGCUGCAGCCUCCUCUGCGUAGUAGUUUUCUCCUCGCAAGGGCAGCUCGGUGGCGACCUCGCCGUAAAACCCCCAACUUCUGAAAGGUUGACCUCGAAUCAGGUAGGAAUACCCGCUGAACUUAAGCAUAUCAAUAAGCGGAGGA
Molecule: unclassified non-coding RNA, 350 nt
Filed under: soil metagenome
Description: partial contains 5.8S ribosomal RNA, internal transcribed spacer 2, and large subunit ribosomal RNA
Rfam family: 5.8S ribosomal RNA (bases 1-120)
Source: RNAcentral